RNAcentral lists this small nuclear RNA (300 nucleotides) under Neogale vison (American mink). Its description in RNAcentral is "Neovison vison (American mink) 7SK RNA (ENSNVIG00000004510.1)". It matches the Rfam family "7SK RNA". From Rfam's summary of the family: 7SK was discovered as an abundant small nuclear RNA in the mid-70s but a possible function has only recently been suggested. Two independent studies have found that 7SK RNA binds the CDK9/cyclin T complex (known as elongation factor P-TEFb). The record is from Rfam by way of RNAcentral. Lineage: Eukaryota; Metazoa; Chordata; Mammalia; Carnivora; Mustelidae.
GGAUGUGAGGGCAAUCUGGCUGUGACAUCUGUCACCCCAUUGAUCGCCAGGGUUGAUUGGCUGAUCUGGCUGGCUAGGCCAGUGGCGCCUUCCUCCGUCACUGCUCCAUGUGUGUCCCUCCCAAAGCUGCGCACUCUGUCAAAGAGGACGACCUUCCCCGAUAGAGGAGAGGACUGUUCUUCCAUCAAGGCUGUACAAGUAGCUGCGCUCCCCUGCUAGAAUCUGCAAACAAGCUCUCAAGAAUUUGAGGUUCUGGGGCACCUGGCUGACUCAAUCAGUAGAGCAUGUGUUUCUUGAUCU